GGGUUGUGAGGUUAAGCGACUAAGCGUACACGGUGGAUGCCCUGGCAGUCAGAGGCGAUGAAGGACGUGCUAAUCUGCGAAAAGCGUCGGUAAGGUGAUAUGAACCGUUACAGCCGGCGAUGUCCGAAUGGGGAAACCCAGUGCAAUUCGUUGCACUAUCGUUAACUGAAUACAUAGGUUAACGAGGCGAACCGGGGGAACUGAAACAUCUAAGUACCCCGAGGAAAAGAAAUCAACCGAGAUUCCCCCAGUAGCGGCGAGCGAACGGGGAGCAGCCCAGAGUCUGAAUCAGCUUGUGUGUUAGUGGAACGGUCUGGAAAGUCCGACGGUACAGGGUGAUAGUCCCGUACACCAAAAUGCACAGGUUGUGAACUCGAAGAGUAGGGCGGGACACGUGGUAUCCUGUCUGAAUAUGGGGGGACCAUCCUCCAAGGCUAAAUACUCCUGACUGACCGAUAGUGAACCAGUACCGUGAGGGAAAGGCGAAAAGAACCCCGGCGAGGGGUGAAAAGAACCUGAAACCGUGUACGUACAAGCAGUGGGAGCACCUUCGGGUGUGACUGCGUACCUUUUGUAUAAUGGGUCAGCGACUUAUAUUCUGUAGCAAGGUUAACCGUAUAGGGGAGCCGCAGGGAAACCGAGUCUUAACUGGGCGUUAAGUUGCAGGGUAUAGACCCGAAACCCGGUGAUCUAGCCAUGGGCAGGUUGAAGGUUGGGUAACACUAACUGGAGGACCGAACCGACUAAUGUUGAAAAAUUAGCGGAUGACUUGUGGCUGGGGGUGAAAGGCCAAUCAAACCGGGAGAUAGCUGGUUCUCCCGAAAGCUAUUUAGGUAGCGCCUCGUGAACUCAUCUUCGGGGGUAGAGCACUGUUUCGGCUAGGGGGUCAUCCCGACUUACCAACCCGAUGCAAACUACGAAUACCGAAGAAUGUUAUCACGGGAGACACACGGCGGGUGCUAACGUCCGUCGUGAAGAGGGAAACAACCCAGACCGCCAGCUAAGGUCCCAAAGUCAUGGUUAAGUGGGAAACGAUGUGGGAAGGCACAGACAGCCAGGAUGUUGGCUUAGAAGCAGCCAUCAUUUAAAGAAAGCGUAAUAGCUCACUGGUCGAGUCGGCCUGCGCGGAAGAUGUAACGGGGCUAAACCAUGCACCGAAGCUGCGGCAGCGACACUAUGUGUUGUUGGGUAGGGGAGCGUUCUGUAAGCCUGCGAAGGUGUGCUGUGAGGCAUGCUGGAGGUAUCAGAAGUGCGAAUGCUGACAUAAGUAACGAUAAAGCGGGUGAAAAGCCCGCUCGCCGGAAGACCAAGGGUUCCUGUCCAACGUUAAUCGGGGCAGGGUGAGUCGACCCCUAAGGCGAGGCCGAAAGGCGUAGUCGAUGGGAAACAGGUUAAUAUUCCUGUACUUGGUGUUACUGCGAAGGGGACGGAGAAGGCUAUGUUAGCCGGGCGACGGUUGUCCCGGUUUAAGCAUGUAGGCUGAUUGUCCAGGCAAAUCCGGAUAAUCAAGGCUGAGGUGUGAUGACGAGGCACUACGGUGCUGAAGUAACAAAUGCCCUGCUUCCAGGAAAAGCCUCUAAGCAUCAGGUAACAUUAAAUCGUACCCCAAACCGACACAGGUGGUCAGGUAGAGAAUACCAAGGCGCUUGAGAGAACUCGGGUGAAGGAACUAGGCAAAAUGGUGCCGUAACUUCGGGAGAAGGCACGCUGGUGUGUAGGUGAAGUCCCUGCGGAUGGAGCUGAGACCAGUCGAAGAUACCAGCUGGCUGCAACUGUUUAUUAAAAACACAGCACUGUGCAAACACGAAAGUGGACGUAUACGGUGUGACGCCUGCCCGGUGCCGGAAGGUUAAUUGAUGGGGUUAUCCGUAAGGAGAAGCUCUUGAUCGAAGCCCCGGUAAACGGCGGCCGUAACUAUAACGGUCCUAAGGUAGCGAAAUUCCUUGUCGGGUAAGUUCCGACCUGCACGAAUGGCGUAAUGAUGGCGGGCUCCACCCGAGACUCAGUGAAAUUGAACUCGCUGUGAAGAUGCAGUGUACCCGCGGCAAGACGGAAAGACCCCGUGAACCUUUACUAUAGCUUGACACUGAACAUUGAGCCUUGAUGUGUAGGAUAGGUGGGAGGCUUUGAAGCGUGGACGCCAGUCUGCGUGGAGCCAACCUUGAAAUACCACCCUUUAAUGUUUGAUGUUCUAACGUUGGCCCCUGACCGGGGUUGCGGACAGUGUCUGGUGGGUAGUUUGACUGGGGCGGUCUCCUCCCAAAGCGUAACGGAGGAGCACGAAGGUUAGCUAAUCCUGGUCGGACAUCAGGAGGUUAGUGCAAUGGCAUAAGCUAGCUUGACUGCGAGCGUGACGGCGCGAGCAGGUGCGAAAGCAGGUCAUAGUGAUCCGGUGGUUCUGAAUGGAAGGGCCAUCGCUCAACGGAUAAAAGGUACUCCGGGGAUAACAGGCUGAUACCGCCCAAGAGUUCAUAUCGACGGCGGUGUUUGGCACCUCGAUGUCGGCUCAUCACAUCCUGGGGCUGAAGUAGGUCCCAAGGGUAUGGCUGUUCGCCAUUUAAAGUGGUACGCGAGCUGGGUUUAGAACGUCGUGAGACAGUUCGGUCCCUAUCUGCCGUGGGCGCUGGAGAAUUGAGGGGGGCUGCUCCUAGUACGAGAGGACCGGAGUGGACGCAUCACUGGUGUUCGGGUUGUCAUGCCAAUGGCACUGCCCGGUAGCUAAAUGCGGAAGAGAUAAGUGCUGAAAGCAUCUAAGCACGAAACUUGCCCCGAGAUGAGUUCUCCCUGAGACUUUAAGUCUCCUGAAGGAACGUUGAAGACGACGACGUUGAUAGGCCGGGUGUGUAAGCGCAGCGAUGCGUUGAGCUAACCGGUACUAAUGAACCGUGAGGCUUAACCUUACAACGCCGAAG
RNAcentral lists this ribosomal RNA (2912 nucleotides) under Klebsiella pneumoniae. RNAcentral's name for it is "23S ribosomal RNA". It matches the Rfam family "Bacterial large subunit ribosomal RNA". The record is from RNAcentral. Lineage: Bacteria; Pseudomonadati; Pseudomonadota; Gammaproteobacteria; Enterobacterales; Enterobacteriaceae.